CUCAAUCCUACUUCCAUCGUCAUCUUUUUCAAUCCUACUUCCAUCGUCAUCUUCUUCAAUCUUCCAGGUUCUCGAAUAUUUGGUUUACACUGUGUUCUCGAAUCUGUCUGUUUACACUGUCUUCUCGAUUCGUUCUGCUUACACUGUGUUCUCGAAUCCAUCUUCCUUCAACCUUCAAUCCAUCUUCCAGGUUUUGCUUCAAUGGAUUAAAAUUUGUUAUGUUGGUUUUUGGAGGAAUAAAUUGAGUGAUGAAAUUCGGGCACUCAGAAGGUCUGAUGAAACGAGGGUGAUGGAUUUCUCCG
Cynara cardunculus var. scolymus (artichoke) is the source of this 302-nucleotide long non-coding RNA. RefSeq lists it as uncharacterized. NCBI's taxonomy places the organism in Eukaryota, Viridiplantae, Streptophyta, Magnoliopsida, Asterales, Asteraceae. The transcript has 3 exons. The record is from RefSeq and is a predicted model, not a curated record.